GUGCUCACUUUAGCAACACACACACUAAAAUUGGAACAAUACAGAGAAGAUCAGCAUGGCCCCUGCACAAAGAUAUGAGAAUUUGUAAAAGAGUUCCAAAAAAAAAAA
Non-coding RNA from Canis lupus familiaris (dog), 108 nucleotides. Lineage: Eukaryota; Metazoa; Chordata; Mammalia; Carnivora; Canidae. The record is from Rfam.